This 590-nucleotide ribosomal RNA is filed under the name uncultured bacterium. RNAcentral's name for it is "bacterial SSU rRNA". It matches the Rfam family "Bacterial small subunit ribosomal RNA", at positions 334 to 917 of the family's 1533-position model. The record is from RNAcentral.
UACUCCUACGGGAGGCAGCAGUAGGGAAUCUUCCGCAAUGGGCGAAAGCCUGACGGAGCAACGCCGCGUGAGUGAAGAAGGAUUUCGGUUCGUAAAGCUCUGUUGUUAGGGAAGAAUGGAUAUGUAGUAACUAUACAUGUAAGAGACGGUACCUAACCAGAAAGCCACGGCUAACUACGUGCCAGCAGCCGCGGUAAUACGUAGGUGGCAAGCGUUGUCCGGAAUUAUUGGGCGUAAAGCGCGCGCAGGUGGUUUAAUAAGUCUGAUGUGAAAGCCCACGGCUCAACCGUGGAGGGUCAUUGGAAACUGUUAAACUUGAGUGCAGGAGAGAAAAGUGGAAUUCCUAGUGUAGCGGUGAAAUGCGUAGAGAUUAGGAGGAACACCAGUGGCGAAGGCGGCUUUUUGGCCUGUAACUGACACUGAGGCGCGAAAGCGUGGGGAGCAAACAGGAUUAGAUACCCUGGUAGUCCACGCCGUAAACGAUGAGUGCUAAGUGUUGGUCUCAUAAGAGAUCAGUGCUGCAGCUAACGCAUUAAGCACUCCGCCUGGGGAGUACGACCGCAAGGUUGAAACUCAAAGGAAUUGACGGA